CACCGGCGGCUCGAGUGGUGGCCACUUUUAUUGGGUCUAAAGCGUCCGUAGCCGGCUUGGCAAGUCCCCUGGGAAAUCUGGCGGCUUAACCGUCAGGCGUCCAGAGGAUACUGCCAGGCUUGGGACCGGGAGAGGUGAGAGGUACCUCAGGGGUAGGGGUGAAAUCUUGUGAUCCCUGAGGGACCACCAGUGGCGAAGGCGUCUCACUAGAACGGGUCCGACGGUCAGGGACGAGAGCUGGGGGCACGAACCGG
Molecule: ribosomal RNA, 254 nt
Filed under: uncultured microorganism
Description: partial 16S ribosomal RNA
Rfam family: Archaeal small subunit ribosomal RNA
Source: RNAcentral